GGAUGUGUUCCUGUCCCAGAAGGAGCUGAUGGUUGUAUCUAUGAAGGUAAGCAUUUUUGUAGAUAGGAGCACCAGUCACCCUAAGCAAAGGCAGAGAAUGCUUA
MicroRNA precursor from Cercocebus atys (sooty mangabey), 104 nucleotides. Lineage: Eukaryota; Metazoa; Chordata; Mammalia; Primates; Cercopithecidae. The record is from Ensembl.